RNAcentral lists this microRNA precursor (104 nucleotides) under Jaculus jaculus (lesser Egyptian jerboa). RNAcentral's name for it is "miRNA (ENSJJAG00000000858.1)". The record is from RNAcentral. Lineage: Eukaryota; Metazoa; Chordata; Mammalia; Rodentia; Dipodidae.
GAGCGUUGCUAGAGGAGGUGUGUCACUGGGGGUAGGCUUUGAGGUAACAUAGCUCAGUUCCAAGCCCAGUACUCAGACUAGUUCUUCCCUGCUGCUGUGAAGAU